RNAcentral lists this transfer RNA (118 nucleotides) under Vibrio alginolyticus. RNAcentral's name for it is "tRNA-Arg". Lineage: Bacteria; Pseudomonadati; Pseudomonadota; Gammaproteobacteria; Vibrionales; Vibrionaceae. The record is from RNAcentral.
AUAAUUUAAGUUGAACAUAUAAACUUAUGAAUUUAUUAAAUAAAUAAUAUACAUCGUAGUAAAUACUCAACCCCUCCUAAGGGACAGGUCGUAGGUUCGAAUCCUACUGGGGGCGCCA